This 98-nucleotide signal recognition particle RNA is filed under the name Helicobacter sp. MIT 05-5294. RNAcentral's name for it is "signal recognition particle sRNA small type". It matches the Rfam family "Bacterial small signal recognition particle RNA". Rfam says of the family: The signal recognition particle (SRP) is a universally conserved ribonucleoprotein involved in the co-translational targeting of proteins to membranes. Archaeal SRP consists of a 7S RNA and homologues of the eukaryotic SRP19 and SRP54 proteins. The record is from RNAcentral. Lineage: Bacteria; Pseudomonadati; Campylobacterota; Epsilonproteobacteria; Campylobacterales; Helicobacteraceae.
UCUUGAGACUUGUGCGAUGAGUUCUUUGGAUAAUGCUUCAGGGUGGGAACACAGCAGAGCCUCCAAAUCGCUUAAGUGCCGCAAGUAUCUUAAGGAGG